RNAcentral lists this ribosomal RNA (393 nucleotides) under uncultured bacterium. Its description in RNAcentral is "partial 16S ribosomal RNA". It matches the Rfam family "Bacterial small subunit ribosomal RNA", at positions 338 to 728 of the family's 1533-position model. The record is from RNAcentral.
CCUACGGGAGGCAGCAGUGAGGAAUAUUGGUCAAUGGGCGCGAGCCUGAACCAGCCAAGUAGCGUGAAGGAUGACUGCCCUACGGGUUGUAAACUUCUUUUAUAAAGGAAUAAAGUGAGGCACGUGUGCCUCUUUGUAUGUACUUUAUGAAUAAGGAUCGGCUAACACCGUGCCAGCAGCCGCGGUAAUAUGGAGGAUCCGAGGGUUAUCCGGAUUUAUUGGGUUUAAAGGGAGCGUAGAUGGGUUGUUAAGUCAGUUGUGAAAGUUUGCGGUUCAACCGUAGAAUUGCAGUUGAUACUGGCAGCCUUGAGUGCAGUUGAGGUAGGCGGAAUUCGUGGUGUAGCGGUGAAAUGCUUAGAUAUCACGAAGAACUCCGAUUGCGAAGGCAGCUUA